ACUGAAUUGUUUCCUUCUCAAAUUCAUAUGUUGAAGCCCUAACCUCCAAUUCGAUGGAAUUUGGAGAUGGGGUCUUUGGGAGAUAAUCAGGUUUAGGUGAGGUCAUGAUGGUGGGACCCUCAUAAUGAGAUUAGCGCACUUAAAAGAAGAGGCACCAGAGAGCUCGCUCUCUCUCCCUGUGCCCCCCCAACCCCCGAAUAUGAAGCUAUGGCUCAAAGGUGGCCAUUUGAAAGGCAGGGAAGAGGGCCUUCACUAGAACCUGGCCAUGCUGACAACCUCACCUUUAGCUUCCACAACUGUCAGAAAGUAAGUUUCUGUAGUUGAAAGCCACCCAGUCUAUGGAAUUUUGUUAUGGCAGCCCAAGCUGACUAACCCAUAGUGUUUUCUAGGUAUUAUAGAACCCACUGAACCACCUUCAUUCCUAACACACUUUUCACAAAUUGCCAGACAUUUUCUUAGAAUAAAUGACCCUCCACUAUGAAUUAUAAAAGCUGAGAAACAUCAUGCAGCAUAUUUGUUGCUGAUUCUAUGUAGUCAUUGCAGUGUAGACAAAUGUGAUACUAAGCAAAUGUUUUCAUGGUUGCCUUCCCCAAGGAGCCCUGUGUAACUAACUUUUCACUAUUAUUAAUAAUGCACAUCAUUAAAUCUAGGUCUUUCUCCAAGCUUUUAAUUCCUUAGGAUAAACUCUUAAAGACUGAAAAACUUGAUUAUAGUUAUAAGCCUUUUAAAGGCUUAUGAUUUGAAUCACUAUUCACUUUCCAUAAGUAUUGUAGUAAGUUCCACUUAUACCAGCUGUUUGCAAGUGUUCUUUUAAAUACCACAAUCCUCAAUGCUAAUCAUUAGAAUUUAAAAUAUUUUAAAAAUAUAAUAGGAAACAUUUAAUUUGUAUUUCUUUGAUAACAUUUUUAAAUUUUCACUUGACAUUUGUAUUUUUCUAUAACUUGUUUUUGUCAUACCAUUGUCAAUUUUUCUAUGGCAGUUUCAACAUUUUCUUAAUGAUGAAUGUUGAAUGACUAUCAACCAGGUUAUAUUUGAUUGAAAAUUACUUUUAACACUUUGACUUUUGAAGAAAGCUGUUUUAUCAGAUACCAUGGUCCUAGCAGUGUUAGAGGGUCACUAGGAAAUGUGGAAAGAAAGUGUUUCUUUGUAUCUUGUUCCAAAAAGUUUAUUUAACACAUACACAUGAGAAUCAGGUAGGCUAGGUGUGUUUUAAGUCAAUACCAUUUCUAAGAGGAUAUCUGAUUUUAAUAAGUAUUUUAGUAAUGAAUCUGAAUGCAUUUACAAAGUGCCCAAAGCAUAGCAAUAUUCAGAGAGCAAGUUUUAAAACAAUUCUUCCUUUGCUAUUCAGCUUCUUCAUCAAGGUUUACUUAUGGUAUUUUUAUAUGGUCAUGCUAUCAAUUACCAGAGAUAUAAAUACAUGCUCAUACUAUAGAAAUUUUAAAAGGAAAACUUAUUUGUGCCUAUUCUGAAUUAGAAUUUAUGAAAUUGAAAUAUUCUCUAAGUAAGUUUCUUGCUUUUUGCAAGCUUUGCUAACUUGAAACCUCCCUUCUCCUUAUAUACUUCCUCAAAUGUGAGAUCAGAAAAUCAGUAAUGCUCAGCCUUGGUUACCAACUGUGCUAGAUGAUAUAGCUGCACACCAUAGCCAAAUGGCAGCUUCUUUUAAUUUUCUGUAGUGAAUCUUCUGAUCAUUCAGGCAAGGUAAAGCUUCACUUUGAGGAGCAAACAUAGCUCUAAGGGCUGACACAUCUGAAUCACAGUUUUUGCUACUAAUAACAUAGCCUGAUACAUUAUCUUUACAUGACUUGGAGAAAUAUAUAUAUAUAUACGUAGAGAUGGGGGCCUAUGUUGCCCAGGCUGGUCUCAAACUCCUGGACUCAAGUGAUCCUCCUGUCUCAGGCUCCCAAAAGUCUGGAAUUAUAGGCAUAAGCCACUAUGCCUGGCCAAUUUUGGCACUUAUUAAUGAUCAAGUCUUAGGUCUCUUUUUUCAUUUUGGAAUUGAAAUGUGAUGAUGCUCUAAUUCUUUCAUUCUUUCUGUAUUUAUUAGCAGAAACUCUUCUAUAAAGAAGAGCUCUUUAUCAGUCAUUUGUUUACCAGAAAAACAAAACAUGUACAAGAAAGACAGAAUAAAUAUUUUAUGUGUCCCUUUAUCUAUUUUUCACGAUAAUAAGUUAUAUCCUAGCCACUUCUAAUGAUAGCCCAUGGGAUGAUUUUCUUCUAGCAUUAUUAUUGAAGAUUUUAUUUUUAUAUACCUGUUGUGUUUUUAGUAGUUAGAGUCAUUCUUUUUGAUACUCAAAUGAUCCAAUCUUUGGCCAAUGAGAGACCAUUCAAAUUGGCUUCUGUUUCCUUCUGGAAUCCCAUUAGUCUUUGGCAGAUUCCUUGCUUCUUGAUACAAGGAAAGAUGUUCAUUUUGUACAUUUCUUUACUCAGCUCUAGAAUUGGUCAUUUCUCCAAGAUGCCCUUGUUCAUUUUAGUGGGUACUGGGUGCUCAUUUCUACUGGGUUUGCCAUUGUUCCUGGGUCUUUUCAGUGGACAGAAUUAGGAAUAUGUGCUUUUUUUUUUUCCAAGAAAAAAUACAUCAUGAAUUUUAUUAUACAGUUGUCUUGAUAAAUUUCCAUCUGUCCUUUUGAAAAAGGCUAAUAUAAAGAGUGUGUACUUUUGAUGUUGUAUUAAUUAGAAUUAACUUUUGCUUCACAGAAGAGAUAUACUUGUAAUAUUCACCAAGUAAGAUCAAAGCUUUUAUCGCUCAUACAAAUGCAAUGUGAUGAUGCUCGUGUGGCAGCUCUGUGUUGUCGUCAGUGACCCAGGCUCCCAUCUUUCCUGCCAUCUUUAGUAUCUCAGCUUCAAUUAGCAUGGGCCAGCAUUCAAUCUAUGCAUUCAUCAACCAAUUAAACCAAAGAGUGGAAGACUCCAAGCUGCCUGUUUUCACAAUGAAUCCAGAAUAACCGAGACUUUUAUUAACCAUGAAAAGCUUUCUCUGGGCAAUGCUUUUGAUUCUGCACAAAGAUAGCCAUAUGUAUAUUUUUUGACAUUUUUAUGCUGAGGUAAAGAAGUGAAAGAAGAUUUAAUGUAACUGCUUCAGAAGUAAGUAUAUAAAAGAGGGUAUCACUGAAAAGUAACCCUUUACAUCAUUUUGGUGAUUAAAGUUCAGGGGAGGAUCUGGCUUUGCCUGGAAUAUUCAGUAAAAACUAUAGAAUUUGGAGUCUUGAAGAGUUACUAGGAAUUUGCAGGGUGAGGAAGUUGUGAAAGUGUUUUAGGUAGGGGGAUAUCUUCCACCAGUUGAUGUUGGGGUUGUCUUUGAUUUAACAGCAUUACAAUGUUGAAAAUAGAUGCGAUGGGUGAUGGUCAGUCUUUGCUCUUUGCAGAAAAGUACAUGUGAAGAGAGUAGAAAGAAUUGGCAAUUUCUCCUUCCUUCCCCUUCUUUCCUAUCCUGGAACAGGUUAUCCAGCAAAACAGGCUGGGCAAAGUUCCAGGUUGCUACUAGAAUAUUUCUAAAGAUGUUAGGUGACUGCCACUCUUAAAGAACAUCUUUGCUCUGCAACUUCCUAUUCCUGAAUUACCUAUAAAAAUAGAAAAACUGCAAUUUACACACCAGACUUUCUAAAAAAUGAUUUGGAGGAGACACUUGGCCUUGCGUAAACCCAAAUCUUCAGUCCUUUUUAGGAUCUACAACUUGUUAUUUAUCUUGCUCCUAUUUACGCCACAUGUCUUUAUCUCACCCUUCAACUAUAAGAUGUGGGAGCAGAGUCCACAUCUUAUACUGCUUUAUAUUUUUCUAUGAACAAUUUCCUAUAAUACAGCACUAAAAUCUGGAUAGAGCCUCUUAAAUACCUACUAGAUUGCUUCUUUGAUUUGGCCUCAUGGGAUGAGAGAAACAGCUGAAAAAUAUGUAUAAGGCUAGUAAAACUGGAGCUAUAAUGGUGGAAGUUGGUGUGUGUUGAAUAUUUCUCAUUGGUUUCCAGACCCACUCUCCACUCUUCUCUAUCCUGCUUUGACUAACCUUUGUGAACUAUAUCAAAUGGCUCCCUUGCCUUCUGGCUUCCAUUUGGGUUCAGCCAAUAUGAGGCAUUGGAAAGAAACAGGAGGGGGAGGAGAAUGAGGUUAGGGCAUUUACUUCCCCAGCUCUCUCUCUGCAGGGCCUCCUGGCUCCUUUGCUCUACCUGCAUCCACAAGUUCUUCUCAGCAUUUUUCUUCUCACCUACGGCUACAACCCUCUUCAGGUUCUAGUGAUUGUUUGCUAUCCUUGCCCCUUAAGAUAUGGAGAAGGGAAUGGCUUGCAAUUAUUUUAGCUUUGGAAUGGUUCACUAUCACUUGCUGAUUUCCUGAACACAGCUCAUAGUAUGCUAAACAGUCCCUCCAUUAACCUCCCUUCUUACUUACUCAUCUAUAUCCAGCUGGGAGUCUAACUGAUGCAGGUGGUAGCCGUAACUUUCUGUGUAACUCUGAGAAUAACACUUUGCAUUUUUAUUUUUGUUAUUGUAAAGUGAAAAUAUAGUCUAAUUUAAUGUGGAUGUUUACCUCUCGGACAAAAACAGACACGCAACCUUCUGAAGUGGGUGCCUGAAAAGACCACAUAUAAUUUUAAAUUACGACCUUCGGUAAUUUGUGAACCAAACGAAAGUUCUUACUCAGCACUGUAUUUUUAUAAACUUGUUUAUGUAACAAAGAUGUUACCUGCCCAAUAAUUUAAUGACCUGUUAUUAACCAGCUGUGCUUAUUCUAACAGAUUGUAUUAGGAGCUUAAUUGACUUAGCCCUCCCAUACAAGAUAAAACUUGCUCAGGAACAGGUUUGACUAUUUCAGUCUUUAUGUAAAUGAGAGUGUGAAUUAAAUGUUUGUGUAAGAAAGAAGUGAUAGUCACGCUGACUCCACGUUUUUUCCCAUUAGUGGCAGAGUAAUAAGAAAAAUCACAAUACUAUUAGAAAUGACAGAAAUAUAUGAUCCCUCGGUAGCUCUUGGUUUAGGGAAGAAUAAAGUAAUCUUAAGAUAUUACUGCUUUAUGAUUUUUAAGAAGGAAUUUUCCUUUUCAGCUAAGAACAUUCAUUCAUCAGAUAUUUUCUGUUAAGAUGCAUUUUUACAUUCAUGUUUCUGCAAGUAAAAGUAGUAUCUAUUGAGUUGGUGCAAAGGUAAUUGCGGUUUUUGCUAUUAUUUUCAAUGACAAAAACCUCAAUUACUUUUGUACCAACCCAAUAAUUGACAGCCAUGUUAAUUUGACAGAAGUCUUGAGUUUCUUUUUUAAGAUUGUUCUCUGAUUAUCACCAGGCAGUGUACACUUUUUGAGGCAUAUUGAGAAAAAUAUUUUUCUAAAAUUUUCUUUCUUCAUUUUUCUCUUAGAGUUGAUUUAUUCUUACAUUAAUAAGGAAAUCUGUCAUCACAGCUGGAAAAUACUAUAAUAGGAGCUUUAAAAACUAAGCAUGCAUAUUGGAUUCUCUUUUGCUUGUCUGAGUACUUAGCUGGAAUCUGGUAAGUUUUUCGAAGGUAAGGACUAUCUUGUAUUCUUUUACCUCCACUGCCUAGCAUGGUGCCUGGUUAAUGACAGAUAUAUGAUGCAUUUUUGAAUGAGUGAAUAGAGGCAAAAUCCCACAUAGUCUUUAAACUGCAUUUCUAUUCUUUCUGAAUAUCUGUAGCAGGUCUUUGAUUUUAUAUUUCUUUCUCCAUUAAAUUCUUUUAUGCUCCUUUUCCCUCUUAAUCACUGACUCUCAUUUUUAUGCACUUGUUUUUUUCCCUAUAUGCAUUCCUUGCUGGAAAUACAGACAUGUCAUGCAUCAGAGUCAAAGUUGCAUCUGCCAACUAGGAAAUGGUGUAAAAUAAAAAAUGUGAAUAAUGAUACUAUCUGUUUGGUGGGACUGGGGUUAAGGGUAAAGGAAAGACAGUGUUAAAAGCUUAUAUUCACUCACACUCUCUCUUAACACCUAUUGUUUUAUUUGGAUACACUACAAUUCUAUCUUUGCUACUAGUAAAAUAAAGAGAUUCUUCUUCAUAUAUUUUAGCAUAUAUACAGCAAAGGCAUUGAGUUUAGUGGUUAUAGGUUAUUAACUAUAAAGAGGAGCUGGUACCACUCCUUCUGAAACUAUUCCGAACAAUCCAAAAAGAGAGAAUUCUUUCCAAAUCAUUUUAUGAGACCAACAUCAUCCUGAUACCAAAACCUG
This is a long non-coding RNA of Sapajus apella (tufted capuchin), 6146 nucleotides long. RefSeq lists it as uncharacterized. The record is from RefSeq and is a predicted model, not a curated record. The transcript has 3 exons. NCBI's taxonomy places the organism in Eukaryota, Metazoa, Chordata, Mammalia, Primates, Cebidae.